This 530-nucleotide ribosomal RNA is filed under the name uncultured bacterium. RNAcentral describes it as "partial 16S ribosomal RNA". It matches the Rfam family "Bacterial small subunit ribosomal RNA", at positions 28 to 523 of the family's 1533-position model. The record is from RNAcentral.
GACGAACGCUGGCGGCGUGCCUAAUACAUGCAAGUCGAACGAACUCUGGUAUUGAUUGGUGCUUGCAUCAUGAUUUACAUUUGAGUGAGUGGCGAACUGGUGAGUAACACGUGGGAACCCUGCCCAGAAGCGGGGGAUAACACCUGGAAACAGAUGCUAAUACCGCAUAACAACUUGGACCGCAUGGUCCGAGCUUGAAAGAUGGCUUCGGCUAUCAUUUUGGGAUGGUCCCGCGGGGUAUUAGCUAGAUGGUGGGGUAACGGCUAACCAUGGCAAUGAUACGUAGCCGACCUGAGAGGGUAAUCGGCCACAUUGGGACUGAGACACGGCCCAAACUCCUACGGGAGGCAGCAGUAGGGAAUCUUCCACAAUGGACGAAAGUCUGAUGGAGCAACGCCGCGUGAGUGAAGAAGGGUUUCGGCUCGUAAAACUCUGUUGUUAAAGAAGAACAUAUCUGAGAGUAACUGUUCAGGUAUUGACGGUAUUUAACCAGAAAGCCACGGCUAACUACGUGCCAGCAGCCGCGGUAA